CAUCACUUCAUUUUUUUGCGCCUGCGCAUAAAUCUGAGAGACGUGAGUUUGUCAUCAUUUUUUAUCUAGACAUAGGAUAGGUUGUGUGAAAAUAUUACUGAUGUUUAACGUUAAAAAUGGACCAAAAGAUUAAUGCUAAACAACAUUUGACAUGUUUGAACGAACAUAAAUAGAUUAUUUACUAGGUUUUUUAGCUUUUCGGCGUGAUUUUACCAGCCCCACACCACGUUUUCUGGGAGCAUAAUGAACGCUAAGUACUUGGUGUUAUUUGGACAUAAAUUAUGAACUUUGUCAAAAGAAACCACAUUUGUUCCGGACCUGGAAUGCCUUCCGGACCUGGGAUCCUGCCUUCUGAUGGAGAUAAUCAAAGGUAAGGGGGACCUGAGCCCUAGGACCAUGCCUCAGGACUACCUGGCUUGAUGACUACUUGCUGUACCCAGUUCACCUGGCCGUGCUGCUGCUCCAGUUCCAACUGUUCUGCCUGCGGCUAUGGAACCCUGACCUGUUCACCGGACGUGCUACCUGUCCCAGACCUGCUGUCCCAGACCUGCUGGAACCCUGACCUGUUCACCGGACGUGCUACCUGUCCCAGACCUGCUGUUUUCAACUCUCUAGAGACAGCAGGAGCGGUAGAGAUACUCUCAAAGAUCGGCUAUGAAAAAGCCAACUGACACUUACUCUUGUGUUACUGACUUGUUGCACCCUCGACAACUACUAUGAUUAUUAUUAUUUGACCAUGCUGGUCAUUUAUGAACAUUUGAACAUCUUGGCCAUGUGCUGUUAUAAUCUCCACCCAGCACAGCCAGAAGAGGACUCGCCACCCCUCAUAGUCUGGUUCCUCUCUAGGUUUCUUCCUAGGUUUUGGCCUUUCUAGGGAGUUUUUCCUAGCCACCGUGCUUCUACACCUGCAUUGCUUGCUGUUUGGGGUUUUAGGCUGGGUUUCUGUACAGCACUUUGAGAUAUCAGCUGAUGUAAGAAGGGCUAUAUAAAUACAUUUGAUUUGAUUUGAUUACUCCCUGUUCACCCAUGACUUCAUGGCCAGGCACGACUCCAACGCCAUCAUUAAGUUUGCAGACGACACAACAGUGGUAGGCCUGAUCACCUAUAGGGAGGAGGUCAGAGACCUGGCCGUGUGGUGCCAGAAUAACAACCUAUCUCUCAACGUAAUCAAGACUAAGGAGAUGAUUGUGGACUACAGGAAAAGGAGGACCGAGCACAGCCCCAUUCUCAUCGACCUCAAACCAAUUGAGAUGGUUUGGGAUGAGUUGGACCGCAGAGUGAAACAAAAGCUGCUAACAAGUGCUCAGCAUAUGUGGGAACUCCUUCAAGACGGUUUGAAAAUCAUUCCAGGUGAAACUGGUUGAGAGAAUGCCAAGAGUGUGCAAAGCUGUCAUCAAUGCAAAGGGUGGCUACUUUGAAGAAUCUCAAAUAUAAAAUAUAUUUUAAUUUGUUUAACACUUUUUUGGUUACUAUAUGAUUCCGUAUGUGUUAUUUCAUAGUUUUGAUGUCUUCACUGUUAUUCUGCAAUGUAGAAAAUAGUAAAAAUGAAGAAAAACCCUGGAAUGAGUAGGUGUGUCCAAACUUUUAACCGGUACUGUAUAUAAAAUAAAAACAUUAUUUUGUUGGACAUAAGACUGUGAAAUCACCAGGAAAUCAGCUCAAAGUGAUUUUAAUUCAGGAAAUCUAUUCCCACGUAUUCCCACGCAUAAAUAGAGGCAUAUCCCAAUGCAAUAAAGGUUUU
RNAcentral lists this long non-coding RNA (1741 nucleotides) under Salmo salar (Atlantic salmon). RNAcentral's name for it is "lncRNA (ENSSSAG00000103837.1)". Lineage: Eukaryota; Metazoa; Chordata; Actinopteri; Salmoniformes; Salmonidae. The record is from RNAcentral.